This 855-nucleotide ribosomal RNA is filed under the name uncultured fungus. RNAcentral's name for it is "SSU rRNA". It matches the Rfam family "Eukaryotic small subunit ribosomal RNA", at positions 564 to 1449 of the family's 1831-position model. Lineage: Eukaryota; Fungi. The record is from RNAcentral.
GUGCCAGCAGCCGCGGUAAUUCCAGCUCCAAUAGCGUAUAUUAAAGUUGUUGCAGUUAAAAAGCUCGUAGUUGAACUUCAGACCUGGUCGGGCGGUCCGCCUCACGGUGUGUACUGUUUGACUGGGCCUUACCUCUUGGUGAGCCGGCGUGCCCUUUAUUGGUGUGCGUCGGGGAACCAGGUCUUUUACCUUGAGAAAAUUAGAGUGUUCAAAGCAGGCUUAUGCCCGAAUACAUUAGCAUGGAAUAAUAAAAUAGGACGUGCGGUUCUAUUUUGUUGGUUUCUAGAGUCGCCGUAAUGAUAAAUAGGGAUAGUUGGGGGCAUUGGUAUUGAGUCGCUAGAGGUGAAAUUCUUGGAUUGACUCAAGACCAACUACUGCGAAAGCUUUUGCCAAGGAUGUUUUCAUUAAUCAAGAACGAAGGUUAGGGGAUCGAAAACGAUCAGAUACCGUUGUAGUCUUAACAGUAAACUAUGCCGACUAGGGAUCGGGCGAUCUCAAUAUUUAUGUGUCGCUCGGCACCUUACGAGAAAUCAAAGUCUUUGUGUUCUGGGGGGAGUAUGGUCGCAAGGCUGAAACUUAAAGGAAUUGACGGAAGGGCACCACCAGGUGUGCAGCCUGCUGCUUAUUUUGACUCAACACGGAGCAACUCACCAGGUCCAGACAUAGCUAGGAUUGACAGAUUGAUAGCUCUUUCAUGAUUUUAUGGGUGGGGGUGCAUGCCCGUUCUUAGUAGUGGAGUGAUUUGUCUAGUUCAAUACGAUAACGAACGAUACUGAACUUGCUAAAUAGCCAGCUUGCUUUUGCUAGUCGUCCGCUUUCUUAGAGGACUGUCAGCGUCUAGCUGACGGAAGUUGA